RNAcentral lists this ribosomal RNA (497 nucleotides) under uncultured bacterium. RNAcentral's name for it is "partial 16S ribosomal RNA". It matches the Rfam family "Bacterial small subunit ribosomal RNA", at positions 28 to 507 of the family's 1533-position model. The record is from RNAcentral.
GAUGAACGCUGGCGGCGUGCCUAAUACAUGCAAGUCGAGCGAACGGACGAGAAGCUUGCUUCUCUGAUGUUAGCGGCGGACGGGUGAGUAACACGUGGAUAACCUACCUAUAAGACUGGGAUAACUUCGGGAAACCGGAGCUAAUACCGGAUAAUAUAUUGAACCGCAUGGUUCAAUAGUGAAAGACGGUCUUGCUGUCACUUAUAGAUGGAUCCGCGCUGCAUUAGCUAGCUGGUAAGGUAACGGCUUACCAAGGCAACGAUGCGUAGCCGACCUGAGAGGGUGAUCGGCCACACUGGAACUGAGACACGGUCCAGACUCCUACGGGAGGCAGCAGUAGGGAAUCUUCCGCAAUGGGCGAAAGCCUGACGGAGCAACGCCGCGUGAGUGAUGAAGGUCUUCGGAUCGUAAAACUCUGUUAUUAGGGAAGAACAAAUGUGUAAGUAACUGUGCACGUCUUGACGGUACCUAAUCAGAAAGCCACGGCUAACUACGUG